This is a non-coding RNA of Prunus mume (Japanese apricot), 750 nucleotides long. The record is from RefSeq and is a predicted model, not a curated record. NCBI's taxonomy places the organism in Eukaryota, Viridiplantae, Streptophyta, Magnoliopsida, Rosales, Rosaceae.
AUGAUAAAACCUUAACCCUCGGGCCCUCACAGAGUCCCAAACGCGAGUGAGAGCAGAUCUGAGAAAAUGAGAGAUGUGAAACACAGAGAAGGUCUGGAAACCCUAACAAUGGCAUUGUCUUUGUGAUCGGAGCCUUCGCUGUAGAUCAGAGACAUGAGCGUGAAGAAAGAGAGAGACGACGGGGCAUGAAGAAAAGCUCCUCCAAUGCGAUUCUUGUUUUGCGAGGUUUAACGCCUCGAUGACCGCCAUUGAUCCACGAUCGGAUCCGUUCAAGAGCUCACCGUUGAAAUCGCGUAGUAAUUAACACCAAGACCAGAGAUCUGAUGGGGCUAGGUACACUCCCUGCUUGCUCAAGAUGCGAUAGGGUGCGAUGUGGACUGAUAGAGGCACUGACAGCGGACCUUCCAUAUCCUUAAGGAGUUGUGUUCUGGUUUGCGAUCUUCAACAUUCAGCGGUUAUCCCACACCAAACGUUCUUCCUAUGAGUUGCAGCAUCUUGUAUUUUAAAUAAAAGAACCUGUUGUUCUAUGUUCUUUUUUGUUAUUGACAUAACAAACUGUUCUUCCUAUCAUUCCCACUUGUUGCAUUUUAACUUUAAUUUUUUUAUUAUAUGGUUUUUUUGAUAUGCUUUCAUAUAACUACCUUUCAAGUUUGCCCACAUUUUAAAAACAUUAUCGUUCCUGAAAUGCCAGCUUUUUAUUUUGUAGGUAAUUUUUUAGUAUUGAUGUUUCUUCUAGAGACGUGCAAUGAU